RNAcentral lists this small RNA (151 nucleotides) under Arabidopsis thaliana (thale cress). RNAcentral's name for it is "ATSL002010". Lineage: Eukaryota; Viridiplantae; Streptophyta; Magnoliopsida; Brassicales; Brassicaceae. The record is from RNAcentral.
AAAAAAAAUGCUAAAUAUACAUGAAAAUGUGAAAACAUGUUGGAUUUGUGGAAUCGCUAAUAACCACGGUUCAAUGGCGGGAUCCAAAAUCCGGUUAGAUUUCACAACAUCAUAUUAAUUUAAUAUUUAUAUAACCUUUUAAAAAAAGAGU